Hemicordylus capensis (graceful crag lizard) is the source of this 383-nucleotide long non-coding RNA. RefSeq lists it as uncharacterized. Lineage: Eukaryota; Metazoa; Chordata; Lepidosauria; Squamata; Cordylidae. The transcript has 3 exons. The record is from RefSeq and is a predicted model, not a curated record.
AGGAAAUGAACUGUAAGGCUUAGGGUGUUAGCUUCUUCCUCUGAGUAUGUACCGAUCCUACUGCCCCAGCUCAGUUCAGGAGGGAAGCUGCAAGCAGCAUUUUCUGUCUCUUGGAUGGAAAAAGAAAAAACGAAGUUCAAAUUUAAAGCGAACUCAAAUUACCUGCUUCUUGUUGUGUUGUUCACUGCUGAAUAAUCAUGAGGCUGAAUAAUCAAGAGCCAGAUCCUGUGCUGCAUCUGAUGGACUGGAUGGCCUCUCUUUAGCGUCAUUGAGAAUUUUCAGGGAUGACAAUGUAUGACAAAGCCACUGUGAAUGAUCUGGAUAACACUCUGUGUCAUGUUUCCAUGCACUAAUGAAACAAGCUAGCGACUAAAAUAGUUCGA